CCCGUUCCCAUCCCGAACACGGUAGUUAAGCUUCUCUGCGCCAAUGGUAGUUGGGGGCUUCCCCCUGCGAGAGUAGGCCGCUGCCGGGC
RNAcentral lists this ribosomal RNA (89 nucleotides) under Listeria innocua. The record is from RNAcentral. Lineage: Bacteria; Bacillati; Bacillota; Bacilli; Caryophanales; Listeriaceae.